This 492-nucleotide ribosomal RNA is filed under the name uncultured bacterium. RNAcentral's name for it is "partial 16S ribosomal RNA". It matches the Rfam family "Bacterial small subunit ribosomal RNA", at positions 29 to 507 of the family's 1533-position model. The record is from RNAcentral.
AGUGAACGCUGGCGGUAGGCCUAACACAUGCAGGUCGAACGGCAGCACAGUAAGAGCUUGCUCUUACGGGUGGCGAGUGGCGGACGGGUGAGGAAUACAUCGGAAUCUACUUUUUCGUGGGGGAUAACGUAGGGAAACUUACGCUAAUACCGCAUACGACCUACGGGUGAAAGCAGGGGAUCUUCGGACCUUGCGCGAUUGAAUGAGCCGAUGUCGGAUUAGCUAGUUGGCGGGGUGAAGGCCCACCAAGGCGACGAUCCGUAGCUGGUCUGAGAGGAUGAUCAGCCACACUGGAACUGAGACACGGUCCAGACUCCUACGGGAGGCAGCAGUGGGGAAUAUUGGACAAUGGGCGCAAGCCUGAUCCAGCCAUACCGCGUGGGUGAAGAAGGCCUUCGGGUUGUAAAGCCCUUUUGUUGGGAAAGAAAAGCAGCAGGUUAAUACCCCGCUGUUCUGACGGUACCCAAAGAAUAAGCACCGGCUAACUUCGUG